GGAAGUAAAAAUCGUAACAAGGUUUCCGUAGGUGAACCUGCGGAAGGAUCAUUAUCGUACAAAAUGUGAGAGGCAUGCGAGGGCUGUCGCUGACCCAAAAGUCGUGCACGCCCGAGUGUGUCCUCUUGCAUAAUAAUCCAUCUCACCCUUUGUGCAUCACCGCGUGGGCACCCUUCGGGAUCAUCUCGGAGGGGGGCUCGCGUUUUCACACAAACCCCCCUUUUAAAAGUGUAGAAUGACCACAUUUAUGCAAUCAAUACAACUUUCAACAACGGAUCUCUUGGCUCUC
RNAcentral lists this unclassified non-coding RNA (289 nucleotides) under plant metagenome. Its description in RNAcentral is "partial contains small subunit ribosomal RNA, internal transcribed spacer 1, and 5.8S ribosomal RNA". The stretch from base 1 to 54 matches the Rfam family "Eukaryotic small subunit ribosomal RNA", at positions 1778 to 1831 of the family's 1831-position model. The record is from RNAcentral.